AUUAGGAGUUGGACUAAAGUGGAAGAUCCAAAACUAUGCAUGACACGAAUAGCAAAUUUGGUUUAGAAGAUUCUGGUAACCUCAACAAACUAAGCCAGGGAGACCCAGUCUUCUUGAAAGUGGCAGUUGCUUUUCAUUUUCCACCAGUUUUGAGAUCACUGGCUGAGAAGAAAUGUAGUUAAAGUAGCUAAGAAGGAGGGAAGAGGACCUACUGCUAGCUAAAUCAGCCUCCCAGAUAUGAAACUUUGGAAAGGGAAGGUAUGGUGGAGACAUCUGGUUUGGUAAUCUACCAGACCUAUAAUUUCAUCUCUGUUGGGAACUCUCUUGUGUGGAAAUUCCCUAAAUCCAGAGGAGUGCAGCUUGGUUGAAAACACUAAAGAAUCUAUAUUUUAUUCCUAGAAUAUAAGCUCUUUAAGAGCAAAGAUUAUUUUGUGAAGAAAGAGAACAUUGUACACAGUAUCAACAACACUGUGUGAUGACCAGCUGUGAUAGACUUAACACUUCUCUGCAAUAUAAUGAUCCGCGAGACAAUGCCAAAAGACUCAUGAGGGAAAAUGCUCUUCACACCCAGAAAAAGAACUAUGGAGUGUAAAUGCAGA
Molecule: long non-coding RNA, 599 nt
Organism: Dromiciops gliroides (monito del monte)
Lineage: Eukaryota; Metazoa; Chordata; Mammalia; Microbiotheria; Microbiotheriidae
Exons: 3
Source: RefSeq, a predicted model, not a curated record